RNAcentral lists this long non-coding RNA (1206 nucleotides) under Astyanax mexicanus (Mexican tetra). RNAcentral describes it as "lncRNA (ENSAMXG00005003785.1)". The record is from RNAcentral. Lineage: Eukaryota; Metazoa; Chordata; Actinopteri; Characiformes; Acestrorhamphidae.
CUGGUAAAAUAUUUUUUUUAUACCCUAGUGUAAAAGCUAGGCAUGUAACGUUAUUUAACUUAUCUUAGUGUAUGAUAUGAAAAGUUAUCAAGGCUUGUUAUGUAGUUAUCUAGUACAUUCACUAACUAUUAGUAAUAAUAAUUGCUUAGCUAGCCAAUGAAAGCAAUUCGAGCAAGUGGCUCGCGCGACGGGAAUUUAAAUUUUGUCGGUUGGGAUUUAAAUUUUAACGGUACAUUUAAUUAGUUAGCUAGCUUAACUAGCUGCCUAGGGUUAACAAAAUUUGUCAUUUUUAACGUUUUUGCUUAAUUAUGUCAAGUUUAAGAUGGUAAAUAAGUUGUUUUCUGUGAUUUAAAAGCUUUUUAACCAUCUGUUUUUGUAGCUUAAGCAGAUUUUUGCUGAGGUAACUUUUAGUCAAAAGUGACGGCUAGAGCGUCGUCGUUGCUCUUGCGGUAACGUUACGCUAGUUUAGAGAGUUUUCUUCGUAUUUAGGGGGCCAGUGUAAUGUACUUGGGCCGGUUGCCAGCUGUCUGGGUCAGACACGUUUCAGACACCCAGCCAGACUCAACUACUCCACUCUGCCGUCUGGGGUUUUUGGUUCAUUUCUUUCAGAGGCAGUGAAAUGUGGAGCCGGUGCUUUUCUAGCGCUGCUGCCUUCGCGUUAACGCAGGCUGCUUCUAACAGAGUAGUUUGGGUUAAUUUCCUAACUUCUCGCAGAGAUUUGGCAUUUUUCUCCUUCUGGUUGACACUUCGAAUGAUCAUCAUUGCUACUCUAAGGGCAGCCAAAUGGAUAAUUCAAGACAACCUCCAAAUAUAGAUCUGCUGCUUUGGAAUUACUUGAAGUAAUUUGCCUGUAUGGAUUCUUGCACCACUCAUGGCUGACCCAAGUUCAGAGGCAGAUGCAAGUCAAGUCUGGAGGCUCAGACUUACCAAAGACUUUUGAACCCUGGAUCACUCACAGACUUAAAGGUGAAGUUCAAGAAUAUCAAGGAUGCUCAUCCUCAUGGGCGUGUUAUGGUGCAAGGCUGGAUUGACUGAAGUGUUUUAAUUCUCGUGUAGCUCCCCCACCCCCCUCCCCCACCCCAUGUCAGAUCUUCUCUAAAUUAUGGAAAUUUUUUGGAAGACGCUGACUUGGAUAUUGAGCCUGCUCUUGGCCGCUGCUGAUCCUCAGAGCCUUUCGUACACUUCUCAAGGUAAGAACAUUUCAGA